This 460-nucleotide ribosomal RNA is filed under the name uncultured bacterium. RNAcentral's name for it is "partial 16S ribosomal RNA". It matches the Rfam family "Bacterial small subunit ribosomal RNA", at positions 338 to 795 of the family's 1533-position model. The record is from RNAcentral.
CCUACGGGGAGCAGCAGUGAGGAAUAUUGGUCAAUGGACGAGAGUCUGAACCAGCAAAGUAGCGUGAAGGAUGACUGCCCUAUGGGUUGUAAACUUCUUUUAUAAAGGAAUAAAACGAGGCACGUGUGCCUUUUUGCAUUGACUUUAUGAAAAAGGAACGGCUAACUCCGUGCCAGCAGCCGCGGUAAUACGGAGGAUACGAGCGUUAUCCGGAUUUAUUGGGUUUAAAGGGAGCGUAGAUGGGGUGUUAAGUCAGUUGUGAAAGUUUGCGGCUAAACCGUAAAAUUGCAAUUGAUACUGGCAGUCUUGAGUACAGUUGAGGUAUGUGGAAUUCGUGUUGUAGCGGUGAAAUGCUUAGAUAUCUCGAAGAACCCCGAUUGCGAAGGCAGCUUACUAAACUGUGACUGACAUUGAUGCUCGAAAGUGUGGGUAUCAAACAGGAUUAGAUACCCCAGUAGUC